GACGAACCGUGCGAACGUUGUUCGGAAUCACUGGGCUUAAAGGGCGCGUAGGCGGUUGGUCAAGUCAGGGGUGAAAUCUUUCGGCUCAACCUGAAAACUGCCUUUGAUACUGACUGGCUGGAGGGAGAUAGGGGUUGCGGGAACUACCAGUGGAGCGGUGAAAUGCGUUGAUAUUGGUAGGAACGCCGGUGGCGAAAGCGCGCAACUGGAUCUCUUCUGACGCUGAGGCGCGAAAGCUAGGGGAGCAAACGGG
This 253-nucleotide ribosomal RNA is filed under the name uncultured bacterium. RNAcentral describes it as "partial 16S ribosomal RNA". It matches the Rfam family "Bacterial small subunit ribosomal RNA", at positions 524 to 776 of the family's 1533-position model. The record is from RNAcentral.